GCAAUUCUUCUCUAUGUUUGAGAUUGUUUCAAAAAUUUUUAAAUUUACAUUAAAGUAUCUAGAAAUUAAUUUAAAGAAUGCGAAAGAUCCCUAGGGUGAAAAUUUAAAAAUUCUGUUAGAGGACUUGAAGGAAGACAUAAGUAGGUUUCUAUCCCAUACUCAGGGCCAGGGCAACUUAAUAUCAUAAAGUUGCUGGUUCUUGUCAAAUUGUCUACAAAUUCAGCAUAAUCCCAAGCACAAUUCUAGAUGGCAUUUGUUUUGAGAAACUCAACAAGCUUGUUCUAAAUUAUCUAUGGAAGAACGAAGUCCACAAAGAGGCAUGUCCACCCUUCUCUACGGGCUGCCACGUUGGCACUGCACGACCCCGCCCCCACCCAUAGUUGAUUGGACCAGGCGUGGACAUGUGACCCAGCUGGGCCAAUCCGAUUCUCUCUCCCGGGCUCUGGAGCUGCAACGCCUUAAUGCUCUUGCUAGGGGAGCUGUCGGAGGCCAGGUCCUGCUGCAAAGACUGGGAAAAGGAGAGAGGAGUGAAGCGGGAGCAGAGAGAAGAAACACAAGAUGGUCUGGAUUGGUGACCGAUCAGAUCCCUACUUCCAGUCUCUUCUGGAGCCCUGGCUGCCUCCCUGCCCUUGGCUGUCAUGGACAAACCUUGUAAUAAAUUUCUCUUUUCCGUUGGUCCAGCAGGAGUGGUUUUCCGUUCCCUGCAGCUAGAAUCCUCGUUAAUACAGAUAUCUAAUAACAUCAUAAUAGUAAUAGCUGAGAUUUAUAGAAUGCUUAUUGUGUGCCAUGUACUUUUCCAAGGGGUUUAUCUGGAUUCUGUUAUUUAAACCUCUCGACAACUCUACGUGGUAUGCAUUGUUAUUCCCAUUUCACAGCUGAAGAAGCUGAGGCACAGAUAGGCUCGCUUGCUCAGGGUCACACAGCUAGUGAAGCCAGAUGUGAAGC
This 945-nucleotide long non-coding RNA is filed under the name Equus asinus (donkey). RNAcentral's name for it is "lncRNA (ENSEASG00005027936.1)". Lineage: Eukaryota; Metazoa; Chordata; Mammalia; Perissodactyla; Equidae. The record is from RNAcentral.